UCUUCGAUGGUCUAGUGGUCAUGAUUUCCGCUUGUCAUUACAGAGAACGAGCGCGGGAGACCGGGGUUCGAUUCCCCGUCGGAGAG
This 86-nucleotide transfer RNA is filed under the name Didymella pomorum. RNAcentral describes it as "Peyronellaea pomorum tRNA". It matches the Rfam family "tRNA". From Rfam's summary of the family: Transfer RNA (tRNA) molecules are approximately 80 nucleotides in length. Their secondary structure includes four short double-helical elements and three loops (D, anti-codon, and T loops). Lineage: Eukaryota; Fungi; Ascomycota; Dothideomycetes; Pleosporales; Didymellaceae. The record is from Rfam by way of RNAcentral.